ACUAACUAAACACAAUGAUGACACACUCUGUCAGGACAUGUAUAGGAGGACUGCCAGGUAACUAGCUAGUUACUAACUAACUAACCACAAUGAUGACACACUCUGUCAGGACAUGUAUAGGAGGACUGCCCGGUAACUAGUUACUAACUAACUAACCACAAUGAUGACACACUCUGUCAGGACAUGUAUAGGAGGACUGCCCGGUAACUAGUUACUAACUAACUAACCACAAUGAUGACACACUCUGUCAGGACAUGUAUAGGAGGACUGCCAGGUAACUAGCUAGUUACUAACUAACUAACCACAAUGAUGACACACUCUGUCAGGACAUGUAUAGGAGGACUGCCAGGUAACUAGCUAGUUACUAACUAACUAAACACAAUGAUGACACACUCUGUCAGGACAUGUAUAGGAGGACUGCCAGGUAACUAGUUACUAACUAACUAACUAAACACAAUGAUGACACACUCUGUCAGGACAUGUAUAGGAGGACUGCCCGGUAACUAGAUAGUUACUAACUAACUAAACACAAUGAUGACACACUCUGUCAGGACAUGUAUAGGAGGACUGCCCGGUAACUAGAUAGUUACUAACUAACUAACCACAAUGAUGACACACUCUGUCAGGACAUGUAUAGGAGGACUGCCCGGUAACUAGAUAGUUACUAACUAACUAACCACAAUGAUGACACACUCUGUCAGGACAUGUAUAGGAGGACUGCCAGGUAACUAGAUAGUUACUAACUAACUAAACACAAUGAUGACACACUCUGUCAGGACAUGUAUAGGAGGACUGCCCGGUAACUACAUAGUUACUAACUAACUAACCACAAUGAUGACACACUCUGUCAGGACAUGUAUAGGAGGACUGCCAGGUAACUAGAUAGUUACUAACUAACUAACCACAAUGAUGACACACUCUGUCAGGACAUGUAUAGGAGGACUGCCAGGUAACUAGCUAGUUACUAACUAACUAACCACAAUGAUGACACACUCUGUCAGGACAUGUAUAGGAGGACUGCCAGGUAACUAGUUACUAACUAACUAACUAAACACAAUGAUGACACACUCUGUCAGGACAUGUAUAGGAGGACUGCCAGGUAACUAGAUAGUUACUAACUAACUAACCACAAUGAUGACACACUCUGUCAGGACAUGUAUAGGAGGACUGCCAGGUAACUAGCUAGUUACUAACUAACUAAACACAAUGAUGACACACUCUGUCAGGACAUGUAUAGGAGGACUGCCAGGUAACUAGUUACUAACUAACUAACUAAACACGAUGAUGACACACUCUGUCAGGACAUGUAUAGGAGGACUGCCAGGUAACUAGUUACUAACUAACUAACUAAACACGAUGAUGACACACUCUGUCAGGACAUGUAUAGGAGGACUGCCAAGUAACUAGCUAGUUACUAACUAACUAACCACAAUGAUGACACACUCUGUCAGGACAUGUAUAGGAGGACUGCCCGGUAACUAGCUAGUUACUAACUAACUAACCACAAUGAUGACACACUCUGUCAGGACAUGUAUAGGAGGACUGCCAGGUAACUAGCUAGUUACUAACUAACUAACCACAAUGAUGACACACUCUGUCAGGACAUGUAUAGGAGGACUGCCAGGUAACUAGCUAGUUACUAACUAACUAACCACAAUGAUGACACACUCUGUCAGGACAUGUAUAGGAGGACUGCCAGGUAACUAGUUACUAACUAACUAACUAAACACAAUGAUGACACACUCUGUCAGGACAUGUAUAGGAGGACUGCCAGGUAACUAGAUAGUUACUAACUAACUAACCACAAUGAUGACACACUCUGUCAGGACAUGUAUAGGAGGACUGCCAGGUAACUAGCUAGUUACUAACUAACUAAACACAAUGAUGACACACUCUGUCAGGACAUGUAUAGGAGGACUGCCAGGUAACUAGUUACUAACUAACUAACUAAACACGAUGAUGACACACUCUGUCAGGACAUGUAUAGGAGGACUGCCAGGUAACUAGUUACUAACUAACUAACCACAAUGAUGACACACUCUGUCAGGACAUGUAUAGGAGGACUGCCAGGUAACUAGCUAGUUACUAACUAACUAAACACGAUGAUGACACACUCUGUCAGGACAUGUAUAGGAGGACUGCCAGGUAACUAGCUAGUUACUAACUAACUAACCACAAUGAUGACACACUCUGUCAGGACAUGUAUAGGAGGACUGCCCGGUAACUAGCUAGUUACUAACUAACUAACCACAAUGAUGACACACUCUGUCAGGACAUGUAUAGGAGGACUGCCAGGUAACUAGCUAGUUACUAACUAACUAACUAAACACAAUGAUGACACACUCUGUCAGGACAUGUAUAGGAGGACUGCCAGGUAACUAGCUAGUUACUAACUAACUAACCACAAUGAUGACACACUCUGUCAGGACAUGUAUAGGAGGACUGCCAGGUAACUAGUUACUAACUAACUAACUAAACACAAUGAUGACACACUCUGUCAGGACAUGUAUAGGAGGACUGCCAGGUAACUAGAUAGUUACUAACUAACUAACCACAAUGAUGACACACUCUGUCAGGACAUGUAUAGGAGGACUGCCAGGUAACUAGCUAGUUACUAACUAACUAAACACAAUGAUGACACACUCUGUCAGGACAUGUAUAGGAGGACUGCCAGGUAACUAGCUAGUUACUAACUAACUAACCACAAUGAUGACACACUCUGUCAGGACAUGUAUAGGAGGACUGCCAGGUAACUAGCUAGUUACUAACUAACUAAACACAAUGAUGACACACUCUGUCAGGACAUGUAUAGGAGGACUGCCAGGUAACUAGCUAGUUACUAACUAACUAACCACAAUGAUGACACACUCUGUCAGGACAUGUAUAGGAGGACUGCCCGGUAACUAGUUACUAACUAACUAACCACAAUGAUGACACACUCUGUCAGGACAUGUAUAGGAGGACUGCCCGGUAACUAGUUACUAACUAACUAACCACAAUGAUGACACACUCUGUCAGGACAUGUAUAGGAGGACUGCCAGGUAACUAGUUACUAACUAACUAACUAAACACGAUGAUGACACACUCUGUCAGGACAUGUAUAGGAGGACUGCCAGGUAACUAGUUACUAACUAACUAACUAAACACGAUGAUGACACACUCUGUCAGGACAUGUAUAGGAGGACUGCCAAGUAACUAGCUAGUUACUAACUAACUAACCACAAUGAUGACACACUCUGUCAGGACAUGUAUAGGAGGACUGCCAGGUAACUAGCUAGUUACUAACUAACUAACCACAAUGAUGACACACUCUGUCAGGACAUGUAUAGGAGGACUGCCAGGUAACUAGCUAGUUACUAACUAACUAACCACAAUGAUGACACACUCUGUCAGGACAUGUAUAGGAGGACUGCCAGGUAACUAGCUAGUUACUAACUAACUAACCACAAUGAUGACACACUCUGUCAGGACAUGUAUAGGAGGACUGCCAGGUAACUAGUUACUAACUAACUAACUAACCACAAUGAUGACACACUCUGUCAGGACAUGUAUAGGAGGACUGCCAGGUAACUAGCUAGUUACUAACUAACUAACCACAAUGAUGACACACUCUGUCAGGACAUGUAUAGGAGGACUGCCAGGUAACUAGCUAGUUACUAACUAACUAAACACAAUGAUGACACACUCUGUCAGGACAUGUAUAGGAGGACUGCCAGGUAACUAGUUACUAACUAACUAACUAAACACGAUGAUGACACACUCUGUCAGGACAUGUAUAGGAGGACUGCCAGGUAACUAGUUACUAACUAACUAACCACAAUGAUGACACACUCUGUCAGGACAUGUAUAGGAGGACUGCCAGGUAACUAGCUAGUUACUAACUAACUAAACACGAUGAUGACACACUCUGUCAGGACAUGUAUAGGAGGACUGCCAGGUAACUAGCUAGUUACUAACUAACUAACCACAAUGAUGACACACUCUGUCAGGACAUGUAUAGGAGGACUGCCCGGUAACUAGCUAGUUACUAACUAACUAACCACAAUGAUGACACACUCUGUCAGGACAUGUAUAGGAGGACUGCCAGGUAACUAGCUAGUUACUAACUAACUAACUAAACACAAUGAUGACACACUCUGUCAGGACAUGUAUAGGAGGACUGCCAGGUAACUAGCUAGUUACUAACUAACUAACCACAAUGAUGACACACUCUGUCAGGACAUGUAUAGGAGGACUGCCAGGUAACUAGUUACUAACUAACUAACUAAACACAAUGAUGACACACUCUGUCAGGACAUGUAUAGGAGGACUGCCAGGUAACUAGAUAGUUACUAACUAACUAACCACAAUGAUGACACACUCUGUCAGGACAUGUAUAGGAGGACUGCCAGGUAACUAGCUAGUUACUAACUAACUAAACACAAUGAUGACACACUCUGUCAGGACAUGUAUAGGAGGACUGCCAGGUAACUAGCUAGUUACUAACUAACUAACCACAAUGAUGACACACUCUGUCAGGACAUGUAUAGGAGGACUGCCAGGUAACUAGCUAGUUACUAACUAACUAAACACAAUGAUGACACACUCUGUCAGGACAUGUAUAGGAGGACUGCCAGGUAACUAGUUACUAACUAACUAACCACAAUGAUGACACACUCUGUCAGGACAUGUAUAGGAGGACUGCCAGGUAACUAACUAGUUACUAACUAACUAAACACAAUGAUGACACACUCUGUCAGGACAUGUAUAGGAGGACUGCCAGGUAACUAGCUAGUUACUAACUAACUAACCACAAUGAUGACACACUCUGUCAGGACAUGUAUAGGAGGACUGCCAGGUAACUAACUAGUUACUAACUAACUAAACACAAUGAUGACACACUCUGUCAGGACAUGUAUAGGAGGACUGCCCGGUAACUAGCUAGUUACUAACUAACUAAACACAAUGAUGACACACUCUGUCAGGACAUGUAUAGGAGGACUGCCAGGUAACUAGCUAGUUACUAACUAACUAACUAAACACAAUGAUGACACACUCUGUCAGGACAUGUAUAGGAGGAAUGCCAGGUAACUAGCUAGUUACUAACUAACUAAACACAAUGAUGACACACUCUGUCAGGACAUGUAUAGGAGGACUGCCAGGUAACUAGCUAGUUACUAACUAA
This is a long non-coding RNA of Salvelinus fontinalis (brook trout), 5164 nucleotides long. RefSeq lists it as uncharacterized. NCBI's taxonomy places the organism in Eukaryota, Metazoa, Chordata, Actinopteri, Salmoniformes, Salmonidae. The transcript is spliced from 3 exons. The record is from RefSeq and is a predicted model, not a curated record.